Non-coding RNA from Podarcis lilfordi (Lilford's wall lizard), 75 nucleotides. NCBI's taxonomy places the organism in Eukaryota, Metazoa, Chordata, Lepidosauria, Squamata, Lacertidae. The record is from the annotation of a GenBank genome assembly.
AGCUUCUAGUGGCUCAGUUGGUUAGAGCAUGGUGCUGAUAGCAGCAAGGUGGUGGGUUCAUCCCCAUAUGGGCCA